GACCCGCCUCUGUCCUGUUCUCCUGCAGUCACUUAAAACUUUUUAGUUUUCCACUAAAAUAUCCAGAUGAGAUCAUUUCAUGGGUGGGGAGAAUGGAGGCAGGGAGAGUCACAUGUGGACAGGGUGAAGGUUUAGGACGCUCACUGUGGAGGAUGAGGAAGCAGCCGCCCUGUAGGUGGUGUGGGUCUGUCGCUCUCUAGGAGUCAGCACAGCCCUUACGCCCUGCAGAAUCCUAGUAUGGGGAGGCAGAGCUCACCCAGCAGUGGGUGUGCGCUCACUGAUAAGCCCUGAGCUAGGGUUAGGCCUGUGAGACAGGGCAUUUGCCCUGUGAUGCCAGAUUGCUGCCAUCCUUAUGUGCUGGGUCCAGAGUUCCCGCAGGUGCAGACACCUGGCCACUGGGCCCGUCUGGGGCCACUGAGGCGAUGCUGCCGCCUGUGGGGCGAUGAUGGAACCCUUUGAGUCAGAAUCUGCCCGGGAAGCCAUGGGGCAGUCUGGGAGCCUGGGGUGGCCUCAGGUGACUGAAGCCCAUGGACGCAGGUCUGGGCGCUAUGCAGACCCCCUGGCCCUGGGAAACAGGACCCAGAAAGGUGGUGGCUUCUUUGAUUUCAGGGACUCCAGGUUGAUGGAGACCCUAGGGCUGAACCCUCCCUAAGGAAGUUGCUUCUGGGUCGGGUAAACAGCAGCGUGGCCCCCUCCCUGCGAUCUAUUCCACAUCAGCACUGGGCACGAGGGUUUGUCCCUGGCACGGGGCCUGAAGAAUGUGCUUCAGGUGCCUUGGCUGGCCUUUGCUUCCUCCUUCCAACCCCGGGGGCUCCUCCAUGGCCCACACCCUCUGCAUCCUGCCCCACCCUGCUGAGGCUCCGGCUUUGGCCCAAAGUCAGACUAAGUGUGGCAUCUCUGGGCCCUGGACCUGCCCAGUGAGUUUUCCAGGAUCCCAAGGGACGCAUGCCUGGGAUAGGUGUGUGGCAGGUCAGGUUUCUGUUAGCGACCAGAAGAGUCAGUUUCCACUAAACUUUAAUUUUAUGAAUGCAUUAACACAUUAAACAUUAUAGAACUGGAAAAA
RNAcentral lists this long non-coding RNA (1063 nucleotides) under Macaca fascicularis (crab-eating macaque). RNAcentral's name for it is "lncRNA (ENSMFAG00000061628.1)". Lineage: Eukaryota; Metazoa; Chordata; Mammalia; Primates; Cercopithecidae. The record is from RNAcentral.